RNAcentral lists this ribosomal RNA (497 nucleotides) under uncultured bacterium. RNAcentral's name for it is "partial 16S ribosomal RNA". It matches the Rfam family "Bacterial small subunit ribosomal RNA", at positions 28 to 507 of the family's 1533-position model. The record is from RNAcentral.
GAUGAACGCUGGCGGCGUGCCUAAUACAUGCAAGUCGAGCGAACAGACGAGGAGCUUGCUCCUCUGACGUUAGCGGCGGACGGGUGAGUAACACGUGGAUAACCUACCUAUAAGACUGGGAUAACUUCGGGAAACCGGAGCUAAUACCGGAUAAUAUAUUGAACCGCAUGGUUCAAUAGUGAAAGACGGUUUUGCUGUCACUUAUAGAUGGAUCCGCGCCGCAUUAGCUAGUUGGUAAGGUAACGGCUUACCAGGGCAACGAUGCGUAGCCGACCUGAGAGGGUGAUCGGCCACACUGGAACUGAGACACGGUCCAGACUCCUACGGGAGGCAGCAGUAGGGAAUCUUCCGCAAUGGGCGAAAGCUUGACGGAGCAACGCCGCGUGAGUGAUGAAGGUCUUCGGAUCGUAAAACUCUGUUAUUAGGGAAGAACAAAUGUGUAAGUAACGAUGCACGUCUUGACGGUACCUAAUCAGAAAGCCACGGCUAACUACGUG